This 299-nucleotide ribosomal RNA is filed under the name uncultured bacterium. Its description in RNAcentral is "partial 16S ribosomal RNA". It matches the Rfam family "Bacterial small subunit ribosomal RNA", at positions 335 to 633 of the family's 1533-position model. The record is from RNAcentral.
GUGCCUACGGGACGCAGCAGUGAGGGAUAUUGGUCAAUGGGCGAGAGCCUGAACCAGCCAAGUCGCGUGAGGGAAGACGGUCCUAUGGAUUGUAAACCUCUUUUGCCGGGGAGCAAAAAGCGGUACGUGUACCGCAUCGAGAGUACCCGGAGAAAAAGCAUCGGCUCACUCCGUGCCAGCAGCCGCGGUAAUACGGAGGAUGCGCGCGUUAUCCGCUUUAUUGGUUUUAAAGGGUGCGCAGGCGGCGAGUUAAGUCAGCGGUAAAAUUUCGGGGCUCAACCCCGACGAGCCGUUGAAAC